UUAACUAUAGUAUAAAAGUAAGUACAUUAGGUUGUCAACUUAAUAGUAGGGGUAACCUUAGUUAAU
RNAcentral lists this transfer RNA (66 nucleotides) under Salpa fusiformis. RNAcentral describes it as "tRNA-Asp". It matches the Rfam family "tRNA". From Rfam's summary of the family: Transfer RNA (tRNA) molecules are approximately 80 nucleotides in length. Their secondary structure includes four short double-helical elements and three loops (D, anti-codon, and T loops). The record is from RNAcentral. Lineage: Eukaryota; Metazoa; Chordata; Thaliacea; Salpida; Salpidae.